RNAcentral lists this ribosomal RNA (429 nucleotides) under Chloroflexota bacterium. Its description in RNAcentral is "Chloroflexi bacterium partial 16S ribosomal RNA". It matches the Rfam family "Bacterial small subunit ribosomal RNA", at positions 355 to 776 of the family's 1533-position model. The record is from RNAcentral. Lineage: Bacteria; Bacillati; Chloroflexota.
UGGGGAAUAUUGCACAAUGGGCGCAAGCCUGAUGCAGCCAUGCCGCGUGUAUGAAGAAGGCCUUCGGGUUGUAAAGUACUUUCAGCGGGGAGGAAGGGAGUAAAGUUAAAACCUUUGCUCAUUGACGUUACCCGCAGAAGAAGCACCGGCUAACUCCGUGCCAGCAGCCGCGGUAAUACGGAGGGUGCAAGCGUUAAUCGGAAUUACUGGGCGUAAAGCGCACGCAGGCGGUUUGUUAAGUCAGAUGUGAAAUCCCCGGGCUCAACCUGGGAACUGCAUCUGAUACUGGCAAGCUUGAGUCUCGUAGAGGGGGGUAGAAUUCCAGGUGUAGCGGUGAAAUGCGUAGAGAUCUGGAGGAAUACCGGUGGCGAAGGCGGCCCCCUGGACGAAGACUGACGCUCAGGUGCGAAAGCGUGGGGAGCAAACAGG